This 734-nucleotide ribosomal RNA is filed under the name Janibacter sp. RNAcentral's name for it is "bacterial SSU rRNA". It matches the Rfam family "Bacterial small subunit ribosomal RNA", at positions 82 to 830 of the family's 1533-position model. Lineage: Bacteria; Bacillati; Actinomycetota; Actinomycetes; Micrococcales; Intrasporangiaceae. The record is from RNAcentral.
CUUGGGUGGAUCAGUGGCGAACGGGUGAGUAACACGUGAGCAACCUGCCCCGGACUCUGGAAUAAGCGCUGGAAACGGCGUCUAAUACUGGAUAUGACACCAAUCCGCAUGGGUAUGGUGUGGAAAGUUUUUCGGUCUGGGAUGGGCUCGCGGCCUAUCAGCUUGUUGGUGAGGUAAUGGCUCACCAAGGCGACGACGGGUAGCCGGCCUGAGAGGGCGACCGGCCACACUGGGACUGAGACACGGCCCAGACUCCUACGGGAGGCAGCAGUGGGGAAUAUUGCACAAUGGGCGAAAGCCUGAUGCAGCGACGCCGCGUGAGGGAUGACGGCCUUCGGGUUGUAAACCUCUUUCAGCAGGGAAGAAGCGAAAGUGACGGUACCUGCAGAAGAAGCACCGGCUAACUACGUGCCAGCAGCCGCGGUAAUACGUAGGGUGCGAGCGUUGUCCGGAAUUAUUGGGCGUAAAGAGCUUGUAGGCGGUUUGUCGCGUCUGCUGUGAAAAUCCGGGGCUCAACCCCGGACUUGCAGUGGGUACGGGCAGACUAGAGUGUGGUAGGGGAGACUGGAAUUCCUGGUGUAGCGGUGAAAUGCGCAGAUAUCAGGAGGAACACCGAUGGCGAAGGCAGGUCUCUGGGCCACUACUGACGCUGAGAAGCGAAAGCAUGGGGAGCGAACAGGAUUAGAUACCCUGGUAGUCCAUGCCGUAAACGUUGGGCGCUAGGUGUGGGACUC